Molecule: long non-coding RNA, 3927 nt
Organism: Acanthochromis polyacanthus (spiny chromis)
Lineage: Eukaryota; Metazoa; Chordata; Actinopteri; Pomacentridae
Exons: 6
Source: RefSeq, a predicted model, not a curated record
GUGUCGCAAAGCUUCGCAUCACUUUGUGACACACCUACUUUGCGACAUGCCUCUCACCGGCAGUCACGGAGAAACACACGAGAUAUAAGAUUUGAAUCUUCAACCAUGGCGGGUCGUGUCCACACUGUAAGUUUUAGCAUAUUUCAUGUAAUGUAAACGACUUGCUGCAUGUUGUUGUUUCAUAGCUAUGGUGAUAGGCGAUAUUAUAGUAUGUAAUAUUAUUUCAUUGAAGAAACAGAAGUACACCAGCCUGUUGCUGUGUAAACGUCACAAAAAGAAUGAAUGAACGUCACAGUGUGUGUUGUAAUAGGGUGACCAAACGUUCUCUUUUGUCUGGAUAUGUGUACUAUGUGUACCAAGGGUGUUUUAUAAAUUCGUGUAAAUUCUCUGCUGUGCUCAGUCCGUAUGUUUCGGUGUUUUAUAAAUGCUUUUCACAUUAUUUCAUAUUACGUAUUUAUGUAUUUGUCAAGUAAGACUUGAAAAGAGAGCUAUUAUUUUGUUAUAAGUUGAUAUGCUAAUACAGAAGAGGCAUUAUGUAACCGUAUUUUCUUUAAAUAACAGUGAUCUCUGGAUUGGUCCAGAGAGAGAGGUCCCUGGAUUGAAAAAACAGGCAAAGACAUAGAAGUAACAGUCUUCAAGAUUGCAUUACGUCAUCAGAAGAUAGGGAAUCAAGUGUUGCUGUGUCCCAAAAAGAGGGUGGCCUGCAGUGAAUAUUGUAACUAUUUUGCUCAGAACUUUUUUUAGUAUUAAUAUGCACCUCCGUAUAAACUGACUUGGCCCAUCAAAGCAACAUCAUGAUACCAUGAUUUUUAAAAUAAAUUGUAUUAGAUAAAUUUUGAUAUUUGUUCUAUUGUGGUGCAGCGGCUUCCGAGACAGACACAUGCAAAUGACUGUGGCAUUUUUAUGAUAAUGGUAAGCUUUCAAACAUGGAACUUUCAAAUUAGCUGAACAUAUUUUCAGUACCUUAACCUGUUUAAUGUUUCUGACACAGUACGCCUGGUACCUCAUUCUUGGUGCUCCAUUUGACUUCACUGUUGUAAGUUGAACCGAUAAUUUGAUCGUUACAGUUCCUGUAAGUUUGACAAACUAGUGUGGAUAUUUAAAGUAACAGCAACAUACAUGUACAUGAAGUUAAUCAUUGUGGAAUGUGAUCUUCCUAGAAGGACAACAUGCCAGUUCUGUGGAGAUGGUGGUGUUCCGUUAUUAUGGAAAACCUAAUCCUGGAAGGGCAUGGGAGAAGGUUUGCCCAUUUCACUAAGGAGGGAAAGGACAUGAUUUCUGGCUGUCUUUCACCUGUUUUCCAACUGAAGCGGAAAAGAACAGAUGAUGAAGACACAGAUGAGGAAGUGAAAGCGGCACAGCGGGUUCGCCAGCUUCACCGUGCUGAUCUUAUUGACUGCAUGAAGGGGAGCAUCUCUAUCAGGAGAAACCUAGAGGCUAUAAUAAGUGGAGAUGUUCCCUCAUCAUGGGAGCUCAGGAGAGAGAGGCCAACCCUUCACUUUGAAGAUGAGCAACUCGACCAGGUUGUCUCAUUCUUGUUUAAAUUAAUCAAGGAAACACCAGGAGCAAGGCAACGAACAGACUGGGUUGCCUUCAUUUUUGAUGUCCUUUUGCCAGAGGUGACAGUUCUGGCCGAAAGACAUCAACUGACAGUAUCAGAGGCUUUAGAAAGGUUCAGAAGGGGUCCACAAUAUGAACUAUGUGAGAUGAAAAUGUUGGCAAACAACAUGAUGAAAAACCUGUCGGAGGAGGGAACAGUAAAGCUGAAAGCUUUAAAAAAAAAAUAUGAAAACAGCCCUCUCUUCUGAGGCAUUCCUCCAGAGACUUUAGAUUUUUCAUCCUACACACACUCAUACAUCACUACUUUGUUGUACUUUGUUUUACUCUAUAUUUUUAUCCAAAAAAGUUCACUUGUUUAUUUGUCUUUUGGAUGAUAGAUUUCAUUUUUCAAAUUAGAAUGCUGACAGGAGCAUGUGCCAGUGGAUGCAAUGAGCUCUUAAUCAACUUUGUUUCUCAGCAGAGCAACACAUACUAUAAAGGUGAGGAAUGUAAUUCACUUCAAUUGUCAUGGUUUUAAAGCUCUGGCUGACUAUCAUUCUUCAUCAGUAAAUGAAUGUAGUUACCUGACUGUUGUGACGUAAUGUAAUGUAAUGUGACUUUUCUGUUUAUACAAUGGGCUUAUUUAGUUUAAUUUAAAUAUGUGCACCAAGUUGCAGUUUUAUUUCAAACAUCUGAAUGGUGCAGCUGGGUCUGUUGUGUUUACAAACGCUGCUAAAAGCGAUGUGAGCUUUAAGUUUUAAUAAAGCCACAGCAGUUACAAAUAACUUGUCACAUGUUUUCCUUCUUUCUUUAAGGGACCAGAACAGGUGUUGUACAAUGAACGUGGUGUUUUAGAUGUCAGUGUCAAGCAAAUUACAUCCAUGUAUUAUUAACAACUUUUAGAAUGACAAAAAGAAUCAUAUUGGUAUCAGGGGCCUAUUUCACGAAGCAGGUUUAGUGAAAACUCUGAGUUUGUUAACCCUGAAAUGAGGGAAACUCAGAGUUUUCCGUUUCACGAAGCGAGGUACCUCUAACCAGGGAAUGCGGGGUAACUCGAGCCUGUUUCACAAAGAGGGGUAACUUCAACUCUCAGUCAGUUACCGCAGUAACAGACUCUAUGACUCUAACCUGCUCGCCAGCAGGUUUAUCUGAGAAAACCUCGAGUUUCUCUCCGUCUCCGCCCUCUUUCAGCCACACACGAUGUUUCAUUUCCUCAUUCAUUCAGUCAGUAAGCGAGCGAGUUUUGGCGUAGAACAGCUUUUAUUAACAAUCCAGGGGAUAAAGGAGCAGCAUUACUGCACAGAUAAUUAAAUAUUCAUCGGUAGAUUGUUAUCAGACCGAGCAUAAAUGUUCUCGCAUUUCCGGACAAUUAUCGGUUUGAGCGGUACCGUUUCGUAAUCGUUUCAAGUCCAUAAUCUACAUAAACAACCUAAUCCGUCCUUACAUUUACAUUACCAGCCGCAGUCAUGCUCUCACAUCCAGCAGAUAUUGUGUGUUGCGCUGCGGUUCUUUUCAAAUGAAAGUUUUUAUAUGAUGUCGGAGAUGCAGAGCACUACAGUAAGACAACUGUAUGCAGGAUAGUCAGAAAAGUUUUCUGUGUGAUUGGCUGCAUAGAUGCACAUACUUCCCCAUCACAGCUCCCUCGCAUCAUGAAUAGGAAGUCCAUUCACAGCAUAAAUGUGCAGGUAGGCUACAGGUAGACUGACUACUGUUUCUAAAUGUUGAAGACUGCAUCAUAGUUCAACAUCUAUCAUUCUCUGCACUGUCCAGAUCAUAUGUGAUGCUGCAUACAUCAUUUCUAAUGUGGAGGCCACGUGGUCUGGGUCUGUUCAUGACUCCAGGAUUUAUGGAGAGUCUAACCUGAGCAACAGACUGCAGCGUGGUCAGCAGCCUAAAGACUUUCACAAUAGAAUUCUCUUGUCUCUGUCCUUUAAUAUACUCUGAUGUAUCCACUAUACAUUACAGGAGAGUUUGAUGGCCUUCUGCUGGGUGACAGGGGUUACCAUGCCAACCCCGGCUGAUGACCUCAUACCCUGACCCUGAACCAGGCCCCCAACAGAACUUCAACCGGGCUCACUGCAGGACCAGAGCCCGGGUGGAGAUGACCAUAGGCCUGCUGAAAGCCCGUUUCCAGAGCCUACGUCUCCUCAGGGUGACCCCUGAGAGGACCUGUGAUAUUACUGUCGCAUGUGUUGUUCUUCAUAAUAUUACCACUAUUAGAGGAGAGCAACACCCUGCCCUACAAACUGAAGACCCAGAUGAUGACCCCAUCCACCUGCAGCUAUCCAGGACAGCAGAGCAGUCAGAGACACCAUAUGCAAUAAUCACUUUACAGUUUAAGUCACCAUCAUCACCACCACAGCAAAUAAAGACAUGAUACACAUUGCA